CGAACGCUGGCGGCGUGCUUAACACAUGCAAGUCGAACGCUGAAGCUUGGUGCUUGCACUGGGUGGAUGAGUGGCGAACGGGUGAGUAAUACGUGAGUAACCUGCCCUUGACUCUGGGAUAAGCCUGGGAAACUGGGUCUAAUACUGGAUACGACAUGUCACCGCAUGGUGGUGUGUGGAAAGGGUUUUACUGGUUUUGGAUGGGCUCACGGCCUAUCAGCUUGUUGGUGGGGUAAUGGCUCACCAAGGCGACGACGGGUAGCCGGCCUGAGAGGGUGACCGGCCACACUGGGACUGAGACACGGCCCAGACUCCUACGGGAGGCAGCAGUGGGGAAUAUUGCACAAUGGGCGGAAGCCUGAUGCAGCGACGCCGCGUGAGGGAUGACGGCCUUCGGGUUGUAAACCUCUUUCAGCACGGAAGAAGCGAAAGUGACGGUACGUGCAGAAGAAGCGCCGGCUAACUACGUG
This 470-nucleotide ribosomal RNA is filed under the name uncultured bacterium. RNAcentral describes it as "partial 16S ribosomal RNA". It matches the Rfam family "Bacterial small subunit ribosomal RNA", at positions 30 to 507 of the family's 1533-position model. The record is from RNAcentral.